RNAcentral lists this ribosomal RNA (2923 nucleotides) under Klebsiella pneumoniae. RNAcentral describes it as "bacterial LSU rRNA". It matches the Rfam family "Bacterial large subunit ribosomal RNA". Lineage: Bacteria; Pseudomonadati; Pseudomonadota; Gammaproteobacteria; Enterobacterales; Enterobacteriaceae. The record is from RNAcentral.
GGGUUGUGAGGUUAAGCGACUAAGCGUACACGGUGGAUGCCCUGGCAGUCAGAGGCGAUGAAGGACGUGCUAAUCUGCGAAAAGCGUCGGUAAGGUGAUAUGAACCGUUAUAACCGGCGAUGUCCGAAUGGGGAAACCCAGUGCAAUUCGUUGCACUAUCGUUAACUGAAUACAUAGGUUAACGAGGCGAACCGGGGGAACUGAAACAUCUAAGUACCCCGAGGAAAAGAAAUCAACCGAGAUUCCCCCAGUAGCGGCGAGCGAACGGGGAGCAGCCCAGAGUCUGAAUCAGCUUGUGUGUUAGUGGAACGGUCUGGAAAGUCCGACGGUACAGGGUGAUAGUCCCGUACACCAAAAUGCACAGGCUGUGAACUCGAAGAGUAGGGCGGGACACGUGGUAUCCUGUCUGAAUAUGGGGGGACCAUCCUCCAAGGCUAAAUACUCCUGACUGACCGAUAGUGAACCAGUACCGUGAGGGAAAGGCGAAAAGAACCCCGGCGAGGGGAGUGAAAAAGAACCUGAAACCGUGUACGUACAAGCAGUGGGAGCACCUUCGGGUGUGACUGCGUACCUUUUGUAUAAUGGGUCAGCGACUUAUAUUCUGUAGCAAGGUUAACCGUAUAGGGGAGCCGCAGGGAAACCGAGUCUUAACUGGGCGUUAAGUUGCAGGGUAUAGACCCGAAACCCGGUGAUCUAGCCAUGGGCAGGUUGAAGGUUGGGUAACACUAACUGGAGGACCGAACCGACUAAUGUUGAAAAAUUAGCGGAUGACUUGUGGCUGGGGGUGAAAGGCCAAUCAAACCGGGAGAUAGCUGGUUCUCCCCGAAAGCUAUUUAGGUAGCGCCUCGUGAAUUCAUCUUCGGGGGUAGAGCACUGUUUCGGCUAGGGGGUCAUCCCGACUUACCAACCCGAUGCAAACUACGAAUACCGAAGAAUGUUAUCACGGGAGACACACGGCGGGUGCUAACGUCCGUCGUGAAGAGGGAAACAACCCAGACCGCCAGCUAAGGUCCCAAAGUCAUGGUUAAGUGGGAAACGAUGUGGGAAGGCACAGACAGCCAGGAUGUUGGCUUAGAAGCAGCCAUCAUUUAAAGAAAGCGUAAUAGCUCACUGGUCGAGUCGGCCUGCGCGGAAGAUGUAACGGGGCUAAACCAUGCACCGAAGCUGCGGCAGCGACACUAUGUGUUGUUGGGUAGGGGAGCGUUCUGUAAGCCUGCGAAGGUGACCUGUGAGGGUUGCUGGAGGUAUCAGAAGUGCGAAUGCUGACAUAAGUAACGAUAAAGCGGGUGAAAAGCCCGCUCGCCGGAAGACCAAGGGUUCCUGUCCAACGUUAAUCGGGGCAGGGUGAGUCGACCCCUAAGGCGAGGCCGAAAGGCGUAGUCGAUGGGAAACAGGUUAAUAUUCCUGUACUUGGUGUUACUGCGAAGGGGGGACGGAGAAGGCUAUGUUAGCCGGGCGACGGUUGUCCCGGUUUAAGCAUGUAGGCUGGUUAUCCAGGCAAAUCCGGAUAAUCAAGGCUGAGGUGUGAUGACGAGGCACUACGGUGCUGAAGUAACAAAUGCCCUGCUUCCAGGAAAAGCCUCUAAGCAUCAGGUAACAUUAAAUCGUACCCCAAACCGACACAGGUGGUCAGGUAGAGAAUACCAAGGCGCUUGAGAGAACUCGGGUGAAGGAACUAGGCAAAAUGGUGCCGUAACUUCGGGAGAAGGCACGCUGGUGUGUAGGUGAAGCCCCUGCGGGUGGAGCUGAGACCAGUCGAAGAUACCAGCUGGCUGCAACUGUUUAUUAAAAACACAGCACUGUGCAAACACGAAAGUGGACGUAUACGGUGUGACGCCUGCCCGGUGCCGGAAGGUUAAUUGAUGGGGUUAUCCGUAAGGAGAAGCUCUUGAUCGAAGCCCCGGUAAACGGCGGCCGUAACUAUAACGGUCCUAAGGUAGCGAAAUUCCUUGUCGGGUAAGUUCCGACCUGCACGAAUGGCGUAAUGAUGGCCAGGCUGUCUCCACCCGAGACUCAGUGAAAUUGAACUCGCUGUGAAGAUGCAGUGUACCCGCGGCAAGACGGAAAGACCCCGUGAACCUUUACUAUAGCUUGACACUGAACAUUGAGCCUUGAUGUGUAGGAUAGGUGGGAGGCUUUGAAGCGUGGACGCCAGUCUGCGUGGAGCCAACCUUGAAAUACCACCCUUUAAUGUUUGAUGUUCUAACGUUGGCCCCUUACCGGGGUUGCGGACAGUGUCUGGUGGGUAGUUUGACUGGGGCGGUCUCCUCCCAAAGCGUAACGGAGGAGCACGAAGGUUAGCUAAUCCUGGUCGGACAUCAGGAGGUUAGUGCAAUGGCAUAAGCUAGCUUGACUGCGAGCGUGACGGCGCGAGCAGGUGCGAAAGCAGGUCAUAGUGAUCCGGUGGUUCUGAAUGGAAGGGCCAUCGCUCAACGGAUAAAAGGUACUCCGGGGAUAACAGGCUGAUACCGCCCAAGAGUUCAUAUCGACGGCGGUGUUUGGCACCUCGAUGUCGGCUCAUCACAUCCUGGGGCUGAAGUAGGUCCCAAGGGUAUGGCUGUUCGCCAUUUAAAGUGGUACGCGAGCUGGGUUUAGAACGUCGUGAGACAGUUCGGUCCCUAUCUGCCGUGGGCGCUGGAGAAUUGAGGGGGGCUGCUCCUAGUACGAGAGGACCGGAGUGGACGCAUCACUGGUGUUCGGGUUGUCAUGCCAAUGGCACUGCCCGGUAGCUAAAUGCGGAAGAGAUAAGUGCUGAAAGCAUCUAAGCACGAAACUUGCCCCGAGAUGAGUUCUCCCUGAGACUUUAAGUCUCCUGAAGGAACGUUGAAGACGACGACGUUGAUAGGCCGGGUGUGUAAGCGCAGCGAUGCGUUGAGCUAACCGGUACUAAUGAACCGUGAGGCUUAACCUUACAACGCCGAAG